UUCCCAAUUGCGCACAAUGUCAGGUC
Molecule: non-coding RNA, 26 nt
Filed under: Homo sapiens (human)
Lineage: Eukaryota; Metazoa; Chordata; Mammalia; Primates; Hominidae
Source: RNAcentral